UACAGAGGGGGCAAGCGUUGUUCGGAAUUACUGGGCGUAAAGGGCGCGUAGGCGGCCCGCUAAGUCGAACGUGAAAUCCCCGAGCUCAACUCGGGAACUGCGUCCGAUACUGGUGGGCUUGAAUCCGGGAGAGGGAUGCGGAAUUCCAGGUGUAGCGGUGAAAUGCGUAGAUAUCUGGAGGAACACCGGUGGCGAAGGCGGCGUUCUGGACUGCUACUGACACUGAGGAACGAAAGCCAGGGGAGCAAACGGG
Molecule: ribosomal RNA, 253 nt
Filed under: uncultured bacterium
Lineage: Bacteria
Description: partial 16S ribosomal RNA
Rfam family: Bacterial small subunit ribosomal RNA
Source: RNAcentral